Molecule: ribosomal RNA, 373 nt
Filed under: uncultured organism
Description: partial 16S ribosomal RNA
Rfam family: Bacterial small subunit ribosomal RNA
Source: RNAcentral
GUAGGUGGCAAGCGUUGUCAGGAAUUAUUGGGCGUAAAGCGCGCGCAGGUGGUUCUUUAAGUCUGAUGUGAAAGCCCCCGGCUCAACCGGGGAGGGUCAUUGGAAACUGGGGAACUUGAGUGCAGGAGAGGAAAGUGGAAUUCCACGUGUAGCGGUGAAAUGCGUAGAUAUGUGGAGGAACACCAGUGGCGAAGGCGACUUUCUGGCCUGUAACUGACACUGAGGCGCGAAAGCGUGGGGAGCAAACAGGGAUUAGAUACCCUGGUAGUCCACGCCGUAAACGAUGAGUGCUAAGUGUUGGGGGGGUUUCCCGCCCCUCAGUGCUGCAGCUAACGCAUUAAGCACUCCGCCUGGGGAUACGGUCGCAAGACUG